RNAcentral lists this long non-coding RNA (573 nucleotides) under Ricinus communis (castor bean). RNAcentral describes it as "long non-coding RNA (RCOM_LNC001542)". Lineage: Eukaryota; Viridiplantae; Streptophyta; Magnoliopsida; Malpighiales; Euphorbiaceae. The record is from RNAcentral.
UUUGAUAUUUAUAGCCAAGACAAGACAAAGAAACCUAAAUGGAUGUCUUUUGAGCUUCCCUACGUUUCUCCAUUUAAUUCCCCUUAAAACUUAUUAAAAGUGGCUGUUUUUACAUUGAUGUCACUCAUUUUGUAACUCCCAAGUGACAACUAAUUAUAUGCAUCCUUUUUGUAACUCCAAACUAUGACUAAUUAUGUGCAUCCAUUUUGUAACUCUAAAAGACAACUAAUCACACCAUAACUUAAGAAAAACCUGAUAAAAAUGAAAAUAAAAAGGCUUCAAAUGAAUCUUAUUGGACCUAUGAAUUCAGCCCAAACUUAUUGCACUAAAUUGAUGAUUUUGGAUCCUUUUUGCAAUCCUAAAUCUUGGGUUUGUGUUCGAACGCCCCAAAUGUCUUUAAUUAAGCCCAACAAAGCUUCUUGCAUCCUUUUGGACUUGGAUCUUGUCAUCAGACCUCCUUGAAAGCUUAAAGGAUCAUUUGUAAUUCUUGUCUUUAUUGCAUCAAUAAGGUUGGACUCUUGUUUUCAUGCAUGAGUUGCAUUUCCAUUUUAGACCUUUUGGUGCAUGCCUUUG